UACGGAGGGUGCAAGCGUUAUCCGGAUUCACUGGGUUUAAAGGGUGCGUAGGUGGAUUGGUAAGUCAGUGGUGAAAUCUCCGGGCUUAGCCCGGAAACUGCCAUUGAUACUAUCAGUCUUGAAUACCGUGGAGGUCAGUAGAAUAUGUCAUGUAGCGGUGAAAUGCUUAGAUAUGACAUAGAACACCAAUUGCGAAGGCAGCUCACUACGCGAAUAUUGACACUGAGGCACGAAAGCGUGGGGAUCAAACAGG
Molecule: ribosomal RNA, 253 nt
Filed under: uncultured bacterium
Lineage: Bacteria
Description: partial 16S ribosomal RNA
Rfam family: Bacterial small subunit ribosomal RNA
Source: RNAcentral